Molecule: long non-coding RNA, 641 nt
Organism: Homo sapiens (human)
Lineage: Eukaryota; Metazoa; Chordata; Mammalia; Primates; Hominidae
Gene: LSP1P5
Product: LSP1 pseudogene 5
Source: Ensembl
ACAGCGCGGGCGCAGGCGCCGAGAGGCGCACGGGAGACCUCAGGCCCAGACUCCACUCCCCAGCUGUGAAAGGACUGCUGGCCAGACCCCCAAGCUAGCCCGCCAGGCCUCCAUAGAGCUGCCCAGCAUGGCUGCGUCCAGUACCAAGAGUUGGUGGGAGACGGGUGAAGUACAGGCUCAGUCUGCGGCCAAGACUCCAUCCUGCAAGGAUAUUGUGGCUGGAGACAUGAGCAAGAAAAGCCUCUGGGAGCAGAAGGGAGGCUCCAAGACCUCAUCAACAAUUAAGAGCCAGCUCAAUCACUUCUCCAGAAAGACUUACUGAGUCCUCUGCACUGAACAGGUGUCCUAUGCUCCAGGAGAGCCCUGGGCUGGCUCCUAGUGCAGCCGUUAUGACCCUGGAAUGCACCAUCUUUCACAUCACUGCCUGGCCUUCUAGAAUCUCAGCUUCUUAAAUCAAGAAAUUGUGUCUUGUUCAUGUCUGAAUUCCCCAAGUGAACACAGUGAGUGGGUGCUUGACAAAUCUUUGUUGGUAAUGAGCAAAAAAGGGGAUUCUGUGCCCAAUACCAUGAAAUCAAUGCACAGAAGAUUCAAUCAAUCAAGAAAGGUGCACAGACACUGGCCACACACACUGACAUUUGUUU